RNAcentral lists this ribosomal RNA (1039 nucleotides) under Vibrio sp. UST061013-042. RNAcentral's name for it is "bacterial SSU rRNA". It matches the Rfam family "Bacterial small subunit ribosomal RNA", at positions 51 to 1069 of the family's 1533-position model. The record is from RNAcentral. Lineage: Bacteria; Pseudomonadati; Pseudomonadota; Gammaproteobacteria; Vibrionales; Vibrionaceae.
ACACAUGCAAGUCGAGCGGAAACGAGUUAUCUGACCCUUCGGGUGACGAUAACGGCGUCGAGCGGCGGACGGGUGAGUAAUGCCUGGGAAAUUGCCCUGAUGUGGGGGAUAACCAUUGGAAACGAUGGCUAAUACCGCAUAAUAGCUUCGGCUCAAAGAGGGGGACCUUCGGGCCUCUCGCGUCAGGAUAUGCCCAGGUGGGAUUAGCUAGUUGGUGAGGUAAGGGCUCACCAAGGCGACGAUCCCUAGCUGGUCUGAGAGGAUGAUCAGCCACACUGGAACUGAGACACGGUCCAGACUCCUACGGGAGGCAGCAGUGGGGAAUAUUGCACAAUGGGCGCAAGCCUGAUGCAGCCAUGCCGCGUGUAUGAAGAAGGCCUUCGGGUUGUAAAGUACUUUCAGCAGUGAGGAAGGUAGUAGUGUUAAUAGCACUAUUAUUUGACGUUAGCUGCAGAAGAAGCACCGGCUAACUCCGUGCCAGCAGCCGCGGUAAUACGGAGGGUGCGAGCGUUAAUCGGAAUUACUGGGCGUAAAGCGCAUGCAGGUGGAUGAUUAAGUCAGAUGUGAAAGCCCGGGGCUCAACCUCGGAAUAGCAUUUGAAACUGGUUAUCUAGAGUACUGUAGAGGGGGGUAGAAUUUCAGGUGUAGCGGUGAAAUGCGUAGAGAUCUGAAGGAAUACCGGUGGCGAAGGCGGCCCCCUGGACAGAUACUGACACUCAGAUGCGAAAGCGUGGGGAGCAAACAGGAUUAGAUACCCUGGUAGUCCACGCCGUAAACGAUGUCUACUUGGAGGUUGUGGCCUUGAGCCGUGGCUUUCGGAGCUAACGCGUUAAGUAGACCGCCUGGGGAGUACGGUCGCAAGAUUAAAACUCAAAUGAAUUGACGGGGGCCCGCACAAGCGGUGGAGCAUGUGGUUUAAUUCGAUGCAACGCGAAGAACCUUACCUACUCUUGACAUCCAUAGAACUUUCCAGAGAUGGAUUGGUGCCUUCGGGAACUAUGAGACAGGUGCUGCAUGGCUGUCGUCAGCUCGUGUUGUG